RNAcentral lists this microRNA precursor (83 nucleotides) under Nomascus leucogenys (northern white-cheeked gibbon). Its description in RNAcentral is "miRNA (ENSNLEG00000028767.1)". The record is from RNAcentral. Lineage: Eukaryota; Metazoa; Chordata; Mammalia; Primates; Hylobatidae.
CCUCAAAGCUGUUUUCUGGAAUGCUAUGUGAGGGACAAACAGUCCUAUCCCAGCUGCAGUGUUCUGGAAUUCUGUGUGAGGGA